RNAcentral lists this ribosomal RNA (247 nucleotides) under uncultured bacterium. Its description in RNAcentral is "partial 16S ribosomal RNA". It matches the Rfam family "Bacterial small subunit ribosomal RNA", at positions 526 to 776 of the family's 1533-position model. The record is from RNAcentral.
UACGGGGGGCAAGCGUUGUUCGGAAUUACUGGCGUAAAGGGCUCGUAGGCGGCCAACUAAGUCGGAUGUGAAAUCCCAGGCUCAACCUGGAACUGCAUCCGAUACUGGAUGGCUUGAAUUCGGGAGAGGGAUGCAGAAUUCCAGGUGUAGCGGUGAAUGCGCAGAUAUCAGGAAGAACACCAGUGGCGAAGGCGGUGCUCUGGGCCGGAACUGACGCUGAGGAGCGAAAGCGUGGGGAGCAAACAGG